Molecule: ribosomal RNA, 484 nt
Filed under: uncultured bacterium
Lineage: Bacteria
Description: partial 16S ribosomal RNA
Rfam family: Bacterial small subunit ribosomal RNA
Source: RNAcentral
AUUGAACGCUGGCGGCAGGCCUAACACAUGCAAGUCGAGCGGAUGAAGGGAGCUUGCUCCUGGAUUCAGCGGCGGACGGGUGAGUAAUGCCUAGGAAUCUGCCUGGUAGUGGGGGAUAACGUCCGGAAACGGGCGCUAAUACCGCAUACGUCCUGAGGGAGAAAGUGGGGGAUCUUCGGACCUCACGCUAUCAGAUGAGCCUAGGUCGGAUUAGCUAGUUGGUGGGGUAAAGGCCUACCAAGGCGACGAUCCGUAACUGGUCUGAGAGGAUGAUCAGUCACAAUGGAGCUGAGACACGGUCCAGACACCUCUGGGAAGCCGCAGUAGGGAAUAGUAUACGCAGGGAGAAAGCCUGAUACUAACCUGCCGCGUGUAUGCAGAAGGUCUUCGAAUUGUACAGGCCUCCAAGUCGGGAAGAAGGUCAGUUAGUUCGUUCCUAGCUGUCUUGACGAUGCCACCAGAAUAAGCUCGGGCUAGCUCCGUG